UACAGAGGGUGCGAGCGUUGUUCGGAAUCACUGGGCGUAAAGCGCACGUAGGCGGAUCUUUAAGUCAGGGGUGAAAUCCCGAGGCUCAACCUCGGAACUGCCUUUGAUACUGGGGAUCUCGAGUCCGGGAGAGGUGAGUGGAACUGCGAGUGUAGAGGUGAAAUUCGUAGAUAUUCGCAAGAGCACCAGUGGCGAAGGCGGCUCACUGGCCCGGAACUGACGCUGAGGUGCGAAAGCGUGGGGAGCAAACAGG
RNAcentral lists this ribosomal RNA (253 nucleotides) under uncultured bacterium. RNAcentral describes it as "partial 16S ribosomal RNA". It matches the Rfam family "Bacterial small subunit ribosomal RNA", at positions 524 to 776 of the family's 1533-position model. The record is from RNAcentral.